Ornithorhynchus anatinus (platypus) is the source of this 678-nucleotide long non-coding RNA. RefSeq lists it as uncharacterized. Lineage: Eukaryota; Metazoa; Chordata; Mammalia; Monotremata; Ornithorhynchidae. The record is from RefSeq and is a predicted model, not a curated record. The transcript has 4 exons.
AGUCGAAAUGGCCCGGGAACAGAACCAAGACAGAAGGAGAAACAAGAUAAAUGCCAGAAGCCGGGACUGAGGGUAAAGACCCAGAGGGAGACUAACACGGCACUCAAAUAUCGGGCAGAAAGUUUCGGGAAGGAAGAGAAGAAAGAGUAAUCAAGAGGGGCAGGGCUCAGGAAAAUUGCCGAUGGAAUGAGAAUCCAACGUGCAGCCGCCGGAGGUAAUGACGUGCUCUGGAGCCAGUCUGCCCAACCCAACAGGUACCUCGGUGGGGUGCAUCUCUCAGUUGUGAGUGGAAAAUAUCUGCCUUCGGGAUUGUAUGGCUGGAAUACAAUCAUUCGCUGAUUCUCGGGUUCGUGGGAUCCAUCCUUAAGAUCCAGACCAACGGUGGCCGAAAUAAUGAUGAAGGUUUCGUUUGAAAGCCAAACAGAAAAAUUGGAACGGGAGUUCCACUUGUGAAGAAAAGAAGCAUUUUUCAUUUUCCAACCUGAACUCACCAGAGUCUUCAACGCCAAUCAGUAUGAUAAACUACCUUCUCAAAGCAUCUGUAAUUUAUGUAAAAUAGCGGCAUUCACUUCCCCGGAUUCUUUUUUUUUAGUUCAUUUUGGGGAAUUGGGUGAGCAUCUGUCAAGUCCGUUGGUGCCCCUUGAAUCACUCUGAUUAAUGAAGAUACCCUCUUCCACA